GAUGAACGCUGGCGGCGUGCCUAAUACAUGCAAGUCGAGCGAACGGACGAGAAGCUUGCUUCUCUGAUGUUAGCGGCGGACGGGUGAGUAACACGUGGAUAACCUACCUAUAAGACUGGGAUAACUUCGGGAAACCGGAGCUAAUACCGGAUAAUAUUUUGAACCGCAUGGUUCAAAAGUGAAAGACGGUCUUGCUGUCACUUAUAGAUGGAUCCGCGCUGCAUUAGCUAGUUGGUAAGGUAACGGCUUACCAAGGCAACGAUGCAUAGCCGACCUGAGAGGGUGAUCGGCCACACUGGAACUGAGACACGGUCCAGACUCCUACGGGAGGCAGCAGUAGGGAAUCUUCCGCAAUGGGCGAAAGCCUGACGGAGAAACGCCGCGUGAGUGAUGAAGGUCUCCGGAUCGUAAAACUCUGUUAUUAGGGAAGAACAUAUGUGUAAGUAACUGUGCACAUCUUGACGGUACCUAAUCAGAAAGCCACGGCUAACUACGUG
RNAcentral lists this ribosomal RNA (497 nucleotides) under uncultured bacterium. RNAcentral describes it as "partial 16S ribosomal RNA". It matches the Rfam family "Bacterial small subunit ribosomal RNA", at positions 28 to 507 of the family's 1533-position model. The record is from RNAcentral.